UACAGAGGUGGCAAGCGUUGUUCGGAAUUACUGGGCGUAAAGGGCGCGUAGGCGGUCCUCUAAGUCUUGUGUGAAAUCCCUCGGCUCAACUGAGGAACUGCACGGGAUACUGGAAGACUUGAGUUCGGGAGAGGGUAGUGGAAUUCCCGGUGUAGUGGUGAAAUGCGUAGAUAUCGGGAGGAACACCAGUGGCGAAGGCGACUACCUGGCCUGUUCUUGACGCUGAGGCGCGAAAGCUAGGGGAGCAAACGGG
RNAcentral lists this ribosomal RNA (253 nucleotides) under uncultured bacterium. RNAcentral's name for it is "partial 16S ribosomal RNA". It matches the Rfam family "Bacterial small subunit ribosomal RNA", at positions 524 to 776 of the family's 1533-position model. The record is from RNAcentral.